RNAcentral lists this ribosomal RNA (253 nucleotides) under uncultured bacterium. RNAcentral describes it as "partial 16S ribosomal RNA". It matches the Rfam family "Bacterial small subunit ribosomal RNA", at positions 524 to 776 of the family's 1533-position model. The record is from RNAcentral.
UACGGGGGGGGCAAGCGUUGUUCGGAAUUACUGGGCGUAAAGGGCUCGUAGGCGGCCAACUAAGUCAGACGUGAAAUCCCUCGGCUUAACCGGGGAACGGCAUCUGAUACUGGAUGGCUGGAGUUCGGGAGAGGGAUGCGGAAUUCCAGGUGUAGCGGUGAAAUGCGUAGAUAUCUGGAGGAACACCGGUGGCGAAGGCGGCAUCCUGGACCGAGAUUGACGCUGAGGCGCGAAAGCCAGGGGAGCAAACGGG